This is a long non-coding RNA of Brassica napus (rape), 1749 nucleotides long. RefSeq lists it as uncharacterized. The record is from RefSeq and is a predicted model, not a curated record. NCBI's taxonomy places the organism in Eukaryota, Viridiplantae, Streptophyta, Magnoliopsida, Brassicales, Brassicaceae. The transcript has 4 exons.
UAUAGAUUAUUUACUGGGUUAGAAAAAUCUUCUAUCUCUCGACUUUCUAUCUUCAUUAUCUCUUCGGCUUCUUCUCUUUCUCAAGAAACUGUACACCUAUGAAACAGAGAUUGCUAGGUUACAUGGAAAUAUAAGAAACACAACAAACCACAUAUCUCAAACAAAAAGAUUAGGAACAUGGGGGAAGAACACGAAGGAGAUUCAGUUAUCCGGGUCAUCACUACGGUGGCGUGUCCAUGCCAGCCGAUGGAACUGUCGCCGGUGUACCUUCAAAGAACCGCCGUCUCGGAAGCACUGCCGAUAGAAAUCCCAGUGACUGACUUGCGGUAUUCGCCGGGGCUCCACCGUCCUCUAGCAGAGGCAGCCCCUUCGACCGACGAGCCAUCACUUGGUUAGUGCUCAUGUCGUUAUUACUGUAGGAUGGUGGAGAGGUGGAGAUUUCUGGAUCUCCUACAGAGAAGGCUAUUCUGUCUUGCGCGUAUAAGGUAUCAAAUGUUUGUUUAUUCUGAUAGCCAGAAGGUGAUGUGACACAACAUUUGUAACUACCAAUCUCUCCAAGUUCUUAUUAUUGGUGCUAGAGAGUAAAUUAGGAGGACUAUAAGAUUCGCCUGUACUUUGCUCUCAUAUCAAAUAUCAAUAACAUUUCUGGUUUGGAAAUUAUUUGACACGAGUUUUUCAGACUUGCUAUUGAUGCCAUGGCGAAAAAUAGCCUGCGGUGUGUGGCUAUUGCAUGCAGAACACAAGAGCUGAACAAAGUUCCCAAGGAACAGGAGGACUUGGAUAAAUGGUCUUUACUAGAAGAUGAGUUGACUUUGCUUGCUAUCGUUGGUAUAAAGCAGUGAGAACUUGCACCAGUGCUGGUGUUAAGGUAGAUCCCACCAAGACCCCCGAGGCUCUCCUAUGGAUCCACUGCUCCAUGGAUCCAAAAACGGUAUCGGAAGAGGGAGAAGAGAAGCACCACUGAAAUGUCACCGGACGCCAACUACUCUGUCAGUAAGCUCAGACGCUGAAGGAGGGGUGGGUGGGAGCCGGCCUGACUGUCCGGAAUGGCUCCACCUGAUGCGAUCUCGAAAAUUUGGGAGAGAAAGAGGGGCGCAUGCCUGAUGCGUAUGAAAACCGAGGAACACCUCUAACCCUACAAAUAAGAGGGGGCUAAGACUGGAAUCAAGCUUCACAAACACGCUCUUUGAGUUUAUCUUCACUCGAAACCUAGAGCCCUUCUUCGGACAUAUCAUCCUCCGAUGCUACUGUUGCCCCAUCAGCCGUCAGCCACUCAAAAUUUGAAGCUCUCCCACAUGCGACUUCCCAAUUCAUUGUUUUCCAUACAUAUAUUUUGUCAGGCAACACUCUUGCUUGUACAGGUAACCUCUAUCUGACCUCCACACCAUCUACCAAAUUUUACUAUGACACCAACAUUCCUGCCAUCAAAGAGUUCACAAGCAGCUUGGGAGAUGCAGCAUCAGAGGUUCCCAUGUGUUGAUACCAUGGAAGAGAUCAAAAAGAAAGAGCUUGUGUAAAUUGGAGAUAUAAACACGCUAAUCUUCAACUCUAACGAGCAGGUAAUACUCACGUCAACAAGUUUUGUUAGUCACAAGAUUGACCGAAAACAAUAUUGUUUUGGUCAACUCCAGUCCUGUUAAGCUUCAGUUUAUAAACAUUUGUUAAAUUAGUUUGUAUAUGUGAAUUGUGAGGCAUUGAGAAACACAUGUCUAUAAUCUGGCUUAGCAGUUCAAAGGCUUUUGAAAAUCA